GCCAACGUCCAUACCACGUUGAAUACACCGGUUCUCGUCCGAUCACCGAAGUUAAACAACGUCGGGCGCGGUCAGUACUUGGAUGGGUGACCGCCUGGGAACACCGCGUGAUGUUGGCU
Molecule: ribosomal RNA, 119 nt
Filed under: Zerene cesonia (dogface butterfly)
Lineage: Eukaryota; Metazoa; Arthropoda; Insecta; Lepidoptera; Pieridae
Source: RNAcentral